Molecule: ribosomal RNA, 468 nt
Filed under: uncultured bacterium
Lineage: Bacteria
Description: partial 16S ribosomal RNA
Rfam family: Bacterial small subunit ribosomal RNA
Source: RNAcentral
GACGAACGCUGGCGGCGUGCUUAACACAUGCAAGUCGAACGGAAAGGCUCUGCUUUUGUGGGGUGCUCGAGUGGCGAACGGGUGAGUAACACGUGAGUAACCUGCCCUUGACUUUGGGGUAACUUCAGGAAACUGGGGCUAAUACCGGAUAGGAGCUCCUGCUGCAUGGUGGGGGUUGGAAAGUUUCGGCGGUUGGGGAUGGACUCGCGGCUUAUCAGCUUGUUGGUGGGGUAGUGGCUUACCAAGGCUUUGACGGGUAGCCGGCCUGAGAGGGUGACCGGCCACAUUGGGACUGAGAUACGGACCAGACUCCUACGGGAGGCAGCAGUGGGGAAUAUUGCACAAUGGGCGGAAGCCUGAUGCAGCAACGCCGCGUUCGGGAUGACGGCCUGCGGGUUGUGAACCGCUUUCGCCUGUGACGAAGCGUGAGUGACGGUAAUGGGUAAAGAAGCACCGGCUAACUACGUG